GCAAGUCGAACGGUAAGGUCCCGCUUUCGGGAUACACGAGUGGCGCACGGGUGAGUAACUCGUAUGCAACCUACCUUUAACUGGAGGAUAGCCCCGAGAAAUCGGGAUUAAUACUUCAUAAUGAUAUAAAACGACAUCGUUUAAUAUUUAAAGCUCCGGCGGUUAAAGAUGGGCAUGCGUGACAUUAGAUAGUUGGUGAGGUAACGGCUCACCAAGACCACGAUGUCUAGGGGUUCUGAGAGGAUUAUC
This 249-nucleotide ribosomal RNA is filed under the name uncultured bacterium. RNAcentral describes it as "partial 16S ribosomal RNA". It matches the Rfam family "Bacterial small subunit ribosomal RNA", at positions 57 to 305 of the family's 1533-position model. The record is from RNAcentral.